Molecule: ribosomal RNA, 253 nt
Filed under: uncultured bacterium
Lineage: Bacteria
Description: partial 16S ribosomal RNA
Rfam family: Bacterial small subunit ribosomal RNA
Source: RNAcentral
UACGGGGGGGGCAAGCGUUGUUCGGAAUUACUGGGCGUAAAGAGCUCGUAGGUGGUUUGUCGCGUUGUUCGUGAAAACUCACAGCUCAACUGUGGGCGUGCGGGCGAUACGGGCAGACUAGAGUACUGCAGGGGAGACUGGAAUUCCUGGUGUAGCGGUGGAAUGCGCAGAUAUCAGGAGGAACACCGGUGGCGAAGGCGGGUCUCUGGGCAACAACUGACGCUGAGGAGCGAAAGCGUGGGGAGCGAACAGG